GGGGAUGAUCGGCUUUGAGGGCGACACCGUGUCAUCUGGGCGUGUACGAGUGGGAUGCGCCUCUCGUUAAUCAAUCGCAUCACUCAACAAAUGCUAAGUCAUUUGGAAACGCAGCCCGAGACUACGUUCGUGGUCUCUCAGUUGCGCCAGCUCUUGCCUAACUUUAGGUAAUAGCCAUCUCCCGCAGGCACCCCGCGGCUUGCGAUCGAGGUGUUAUCUUAGCGGGGUUGGUGUUCUGCAGGUUUCUGGUAGAACACCGAGAACUCGUGAAACCCGCAACGUAGUUUUUGGCCGCGCUUAGAGCCACGUUGUCAGAUACCAAGCGCGGAGAGUACACGUGGACAGAUCAUACGAGGUUAGCUCCACGCGGGUUCGAUUCCCGCCAUCUCCACCA
This 394-nucleotide transfer-messenger RNA is filed under the name bacterium. It matches the Rfam family "transfer-messenger RNA". From Rfam's summary of the family: Bacterial tmRNA, also known as 10Sa RNA or SsrA, is named for its dual tRNA and mRNA-like properties. Its role is to liberate the mRNA from a stalled ribosome. To accomplish this part of the tmRNA is used as a reading frame that ends in a translation stop signal. The record is from RNAcentral.